GUUGGAGGAACUGAGCCUGAGAAUUGUUUUGACCCUGGCUUUCCUGAAUACUCUGAAGGACGGCAUGCUGGGAUUGAGGUGGCAGAUGCUGCAGCAAUUGAUUUGUCAACAGAGGAGCAGCUCUGUUGUUCAUGUUCUCAGGUGACUGAAAUUGCAACAUUGCUGGACUAGCCUGUUUUUCAGCAUCCGCUGCCCUCAUCUCCUGAAGUGCUGCUG
Molecule: unclassified non-coding RNA, 216 nt
Filed under: Hevea brasiliensis (rubber tree)
Lineage: Eukaryota; Viridiplantae; Streptophyta; Magnoliopsida; Malpighiales; Euphorbiaceae
Source: RNAcentral